UCGGUAUCAGGCACGCCCAAGACAUCUAGCCAUGCCACACCCACAAAGGGCCUUCAGCAGUGAUUAACAUUAAAAAUAAACGUCAGUUUGAUUUAAUUAAAGAGAAGAGGGCCGGCUAAUCUGGUGCCAGCCGCCGCGGUUACACCAGUGGCCCUAAUAGAUCCGGCGUAAAGCGUGGUUAAAGUAGGGCUAAACUUAAACUAAGCUGUAGCACGCUUGUUUCAAGGAAACUCAUAUAUCGAAAGAUGCCCUACACCUAAACUUGAACCCACCACAACUUGGACAUAAACUAGGAUUAGAUACCCUACUAUACCCAGUCGUAAACUUUAACUUACCCCGCCAGGAAACUACGAGCAAAGCUUAAAACCCAAAGGACUUGACGGUGCCCCACAUCCCCCUAGAGGAGCCUGUCCUAUAAUCGAUACUCCCCGUUUAACCUCACCAUUUUUAGCAGCCUGUAUACUUCCGUCGUCAGCUUACCGCAUGAGCGAGUAAGCUUAAUGACCUCACGUCAGGUCAAAGUGCAGCUUAUAAAAUGGGAAGAGAUGGGCUACACUUUCUACUAUAGAAGAUACGAAAGAUUAUGUGAAACAGAAGGCGGAUUUAGAAGUAAAAAGAGAGCAGAGAGCUAUUUUUAACCGAGCACUGGGGCGCGUACACACCGCCCGUCACCCUCUUC
RNAcentral lists this ribosomal RNA (679 nucleotides) under Pristimantis ridens (pygmy robber frog). Its description in RNAcentral is "partial 12S ribosomal RNA". It matches the Rfam family "Bacterial small subunit ribosomal RNA", at positions 358 to 1407 of the family's 1533-position model. The record is from RNAcentral. Lineage: Eukaryota; Metazoa; Chordata; Amphibia; Anura; Strabomantidae.